CAGCGCCACGAGUGGUAACCACGUUUAUUGGGCCUAAAGCGUCCGUAGCCGGUUUGAUAAAUCUUUUGUGAAAUUGUACAGCUUAACUGUACAGCGUGCAAGAGACACUGUCAAACUUGAGACCGGGAGGAGUCAGAAGUAUUCCAGAGGGAGCGGUAAAAUGUUAUAAUCUCUGGAGGACUACCUGUGGCGAAGGCGUCUGACCAGGACGGAUCUGACGGUGAGGGACGAAAGCUAGGGGAGCGAACCGGAUUAGAGACCCGAGUAGUCC
Molecule: ribosomal RNA, 271 nt
Filed under: uncultured archaeon
Lineage: Archaea
Description: partial 16S ribosomal RNA
Rfam family: Archaeal small subunit ribosomal RNA
Source: RNAcentral